RNAcentral lists this ribosomal RNA (623 nucleotides) under Streptococcus infantarius. RNAcentral describes it as "bacterial SSU rRNA". It matches the Rfam family "Bacterial small subunit ribosomal RNA", at positions 44 to 650 of the family's 1533-position model. The record is from RNAcentral. Lineage: Bacteria; Bacillati; Bacillota; Bacilli; Lactobacillales; Streptococcaceae.
GUGCCUAAUACAUGCAAGUAGAACGCUGAAGACUUUAGCUUGCUAAAGUUGGAAGAGUUGCGAACGGGUGAGUAACGCGUAGGUAACCUGCCUACUAGCGGGGGAUAACUAUUGGAAACGAUAGCUAAUACCGCAUAACAGCAUUUAACCCAUGUUAGAUGCUUGAAAGGAGCAAUUGCUUCACUAGUAGAUGGACCUGCGUUGUAUUAGCUAGUUGGUGAGGUAACGGCUCACCAAGGCGACGAUACAUAGCCGACCUGAGAGGGUGAUCGGCCACACUGGGACUGAGACACGGCCCAGACUCCUACGGGAGGCAGCAGUAGGGAAUCUUCGGCAAUGGGGGCAACCCUGACCGAGCAACGCCGCGUGAGUGAAGAAGGUUUUCGGAUCGUAAAGCUCUGUUGUAAGAGAAGAACGUGUGUGAGAGUGGAAAGUUCACACAGUGACGGUAACUUACCAGAAAGGGACGGCUAACUACGUGCCAGCAGCCGCGGUAAUACGUAGGUCCCGAGCGUUGUCCGGAUUUAUUGGGCGUAAAGCGAGCGCAGGCGGUUUAAUAAGUCUGAAGUUAAAGGCAGUGGCUUAACCAUUGUUCGCUUUGGAAACUGUUAGACUUGAGUGCA